GGUUAAGCGACUAAGCGUACACGGUGGAUGCCCUGGCAGUCAGAGGCGAUGAAGGACGUGCUAAUCUGCGAUAAGCGUCGGUGAGGUGAUAUGAACCGUUAUAACCGGCGAUUUCCGAAUGGGGAAACCCAGUGUGUUUCGACACACUAUCAUUAACUGAAUCCAUAGGUUAAUGAGGCGAACCGGGGGAACUGAAACAUCUAAGUACCCCGAGGAAAAGAAAUCAACCGAGAUUCCCCCAGUAGCGGCGAGCGAACGGGGAGGAGCCCAGAGCCUGAAUCAGUGUGUGUGUUA
Molecule: ribosomal RNA, 294 nt
Filed under: Escherichia coli
Lineage: Bacteria; Pseudomonadati; Pseudomonadota; Gammaproteobacteria; Enterobacterales; Enterobacteriaceae
Description: partial 23S ribosomal RNA
Rfam family: Bacterial large subunit ribosomal RNA
Source: RNAcentral